AGAGUUUGAUCAUGGCUCAGAUUGAACGCUGGCGGCAGGCCUAACACAUGCAAGUCGAGCGGCAGCACAGAGGAACUUGUUCCUUGGGUGGCGAGCGGCGGACGGGUGAGUAAUGCCUGGGAAAUUGCCCGGUAGAGGGGGAUAACCAUUGGAAACGAUGGCUAAUACCGCAUAACCUCGUAAGAGCAAAGCAGGGGACCUUAGGGCCUUGUGCUACCGGAUAUGCCCAGGUGGGAUUAGCUAGUUGGUGAGGUAAGGGCUCACCAAGGCGACGAUCCCUAGCUGGUCUGAGAGGAUGAUCAGCCACACUGGAACUGAGACACGGUCCAGACUCCUACGGGAGGCAGCAGUGGGGAAUAUUGCACAAUGGGCGCAAGCCUGAUGCAGCCAUGCCGCGUGUAUGAAGAAGGCCUUCGGGUUGUAAAGUACUUUCAGUAGGGAGGAAGGUGGUUAAGUUAAUACCUUAAUCAUUUGACGUUACCUACAGAAGA
RNAcentral lists this ribosomal RNA (491 nucleotides) under Vibrio mimicus VM223. Its description in RNAcentral is "bacterial SSU rRNA". It matches the Rfam family "Bacterial small subunit ribosomal RNA", at positions 8 to 488 of the family's 1533-position model. Lineage: Bacteria; Pseudomonadati; Pseudomonadota; Gammaproteobacteria; Vibrionales; Vibrionaceae. The record is from RNAcentral.